RNAcentral lists this transfer RNA (84 nucleotides) under Armillaria luteobubalina. It matches the Rfam family "tRNA". Rfam says of the family: Transfer RNA (tRNA) molecules are approximately 80 nucleotides in length. Their secondary structure includes four short double-helical elements and three loops (D, anti-codon, and T loops). Further hydrogen bonds mediate the characteristic L-shaped molecular structure. tRNAs have two regions of fundamental functional importance: the anti-codon, which is responsible for specific mRNA codon recognition, and the 3' end, to which the tRNAs corresponding amino acid is attached (by aminoacyl-tRNA synthetases). tRNAs cope with the degeneracy of the genetic code in two manners: having more than one tRNA (with a specific anti-codon) for a particular amino acid; and 'wobble' base-pairing, i.e. permitting non-standard base-pairing at the 3rd anti-codon position. The record is from Rfam by way of RNAcentral. Lineage: Eukaryota; Fungi; Basidiomycota; Agaricomycetes; Agaricales; Physalacriaceae.
GCAUUAAUGGGGUAGUGGUAACCUGGGUCGUUGCCAUGGUGCGGAUAUUUCGACCCGCCGGGGGUUCGAUUCCCUCUUAAUGCA